GACGAACGCUGGCGGCGUGCUUAACACAUGCAAGUCGAACGAUGAGCCCGGAGCUUGCUCCGGUGGAUUAGUGGCGAACGGGUGAGUAACACGUGAGUAACCUGCCCUUGACUCUGGGAUAACUGCGGGAAACUGUAGCUAAUACCGGAUACGACCCUAGGCGGCAUCGCCAGGGGGUGGAAAGAAUUUCGGUCAAGGAUGGACUCGCGGCCUAUCAGCUAGUUGGUGAGGUAACGGCUCACCAAGGCGACGACGGGUAGCCGGCCUGAGAGGGUGACCGGCCACACUGGACUGAGACACGGCCCAGACUCCUACGGGAGGCAGCAGUGGGGAAUAUUGCACAAUGGGCGCAAGCCUGAUGCAACAACGCCGCGUGAGGGAUGACGGCCUUCGGGUUGUAAACCUCUUUUAGUAGGGAAGAAGCGAAAGUGACGGUACCUGCAGAAAAGGCACCGGCUAACUACGUGCCAGCCGCCGCGGUAA
Molecule: ribosomal RNA, 483 nt
Filed under: uncultured bacterium
Lineage: Bacteria
Description: partial 16S ribosomal RNA
Rfam family: Bacterial small subunit ribosomal RNA
Source: RNAcentral